UGAUGUGAGGACGGUCGGGCUGUGACGCCUGUCACCCCACUGGUCACCAGUGUUGAUUUGGCUGAUGUGGCUGGCUCAGAGGCAGGUGUCCCCCUCCUUCCCCACUGUUCCCUGUGCAUCCCUCCGAAGCUGCGUGCUCCAUCGAAGAGGAUGGAGGACCGGGCUUCGAGUAGC
Molecule: small nuclear RNA, 174 nt
Filed under: Pan troglodytes (chimpanzee)
Lineage: Eukaryota; Metazoa; Chordata; Mammalia; Primates; Hominidae
Description: 7SK RNA
Rfam family: 7SK RNA
About the family: 7SK was discovered as an abundant small nuclear RNA in the mid-70s but a possible function has only recently been suggested. Two independent studies have found that 7SK RNA binds the CDK9/cyclin T complex (known as elongation factor P-TEFb). P-TEFb activates transcription by phosphorylating the C-terminal domain of RNA polymerase II.
Source: Rfam by way of RNAcentral